UUCGCGGUCGGGUCGACCUCCCUGGUCACCACCAGGUAUUCGCGUAUUGCAAUGGCGUGCAGGUGCUC
Molecule: non-coding RNA, 68 nt
Organism: Mycobacterium riyadhense
Lineage: Bacteria; Bacillati; Actinomycetota; Actinomycetes; Mycobacteriales; Mycobacteriaceae
Source: Rfam